RNAcentral lists this ribosomal RNA (429 nucleotides) under uncultured archaeon. RNAcentral's name for it is "bacterial SSU rRNA". It matches the Rfam family "Archaeal small subunit ribosomal RNA", at positions 474 to 903 of the family's 1478-position model. The record is from RNAcentral.
UACCAGCCCCCUGAGUGGUAUGGACGAUUAUUUGGCCUAAAGCGUCCGUAGCCGGCUCAGUAAGUCUUUCGCUAAAUCUAACGGCUUAAUCGUUAGGCUGCGGAAGAUACUGCUAGGCUAGAGGAUGGGAGAGGUCGACGGUAGUCCUGGGGUAGGGGUGAAAUCCUAUAAUCCCAGGAGGACCACCAGUGGCGAAGGCGGUCGACUAGAACAUGCCUGACGGUGAUGGACGAAAGCUGGGGGAGCGAACCGGAUUAGACACCCGGGUAGUCCCAGCCGUAAACGAUGCGGGCUAGGCGUUGGGACAGCCAUGAGCUGUUCCAGUGCCGCAGAGAAGUUGUUAAGCCCGCCGCCUGGGAAGUACGGCCGCAAGGCUGAAACUUAAAGGAAUUGGCGGGGGAGCACCACAAGGGGUGAAGGCUGCGGUUC